Molecule: transfer RNA, 70 nt
Filed under: Cynoponticus ferox (Guinea pike conger)
Lineage: Eukaryota; Metazoa; Chordata; Actinopteri; Anguilliformes; Muraenesocidae
Description: tRNA-Gly
Rfam family: tRNA
About the family: Transfer RNA (tRNA) molecules are approximately 80 nucleotides in length. Their secondary structure includes four short double-helical elements and three loops (D, anti-codon, and T loops). Further hydrogen bonds mediate the characteristic L-shaped molecular structure. tRNAs have two regions of fundamental functional importance: the anti-codon, which is responsible for specific mRNA codon recognition, and the 3' end, to which the tRNAs corresponding amino acid is attached (by aminoacyl-tRNA synthetases). tRNAs cope with the degeneracy of the genetic code in two manners: having more than one tRNA (with a specific anti-codon) for a particular amino acid; and 'wobble' base-pairing, i.e. permitting non-standard base-pairing at the 3rd anti-codon position.
Source: RNAcentral
AUUCUUCUAGUAUUAAUUAAUACAAUUGACUUCCAAUCACUUAAUCUUGGUUAAAACCCAAGGAAGAAUA